RNAcentral lists this ribosomal RNA (253 nucleotides) under uncultured bacterium. RNAcentral describes it as "partial 16S ribosomal RNA". It matches the Rfam family "Bacterial small subunit ribosomal RNA", at positions 524 to 776 of the family's 1533-position model. The record is from RNAcentral.
UACGUAGGGUGCAAGCGUUGUCCGGAUUUAUUGGGCGUAAAGAGCGUGUAGGCGGCCAGGUAGGUCGGUUGUGAAAACUGGAGGCUUAACCUUCAGACGUCGACCGAAACCAUCUGGCUAGAGUCCGGAAGAGGAGAGUGGAAUUCCUGGUGUAGCGGUGAAAUGCGCAGAUAUCAGGAAGAACACCGAUGGCGAAGGCAGCUCUCUGGGACGGUACUGACGCUGAGGCGCGAAAGCGUGGGGAGCGAACAGG